Non-coding RNA from Pangasius djambal, 69 nucleotides. NCBI's taxonomy places the organism in Eukaryota, Metazoa, Chordata, Actinopteri, Siluriformes, Pangasiidae. The record is from the annotation of a GenBank genome assembly.
CUGCUGGUAGCUCAGUGGUUAAGAUGUCAGACUUCUGAUUGGAAGGUUGAGAGUUCAAAUCCCAGCACU